Molecule: long non-coding RNA, 1358 nt
Organism: Clupea harengus (Atlantic herring)
Lineage: Eukaryota; Metazoa; Chordata; Actinopteri; Clupeiformes; Clupeidae
Source: Ensembl
CGCUCUCUCUCUUAUCUGAGAGAGACCGGACCUUGAGCAACAUCUUCUCAAAAUCGUUACGCAGAGAGCUGGUCUCCUCAAUCACUCAUUCAGAGCAAUAAUGUCAAUAGAGUGGUAAUUCAACUUUUGAUGAUUGGUCCAAUAAGUGUGUGAAUGAAUAAAGUACAGCUGGGUUGUCCUGGAUUUGACCCAUGCAGACGGAAGGGUCAGUGAAGGACCACUCUGCCUUGUGUGUUGCCAGUCCCAGAGAGAGUUUUUCACCUAGUAGCCCAAACUUCUUUGCCCCUACACGCGUGUUGACAUUAUGGUAUCUACAAAACACCUGAGGCAAUCAGACCGUACUCUGCAACCAGCUUUUCAUCUAAACAGUAUUGGCUGCUGGCCCAAGGGUUAUAGGUUGAUGUAUGUGAUUUUUUUUUGGUUUGUUUGUUUGUUUUUUAUGUUUGCCAUUCUAAUGCCUGCAUUUGUCAUUUUUUCACAGGGAAGGCCCUCGUCACAGUAGCGCCGUAUGAGGAGCACAUGCAGAAUGGUCUCGAGCUCCAAGCCGUGUGGAUCCAGUCUAGUGUCUCCUCAUUCUCAAGCGAAGAUGGGUAGACACAGAGAGAGAGAGAGAGAGAGAGCGAGAGAGUGUGAGUGAGGCACAGAGAAAGAGAGAGCCUCAGGGAAGACCUUGUGUGGAAGGCUGGGAAUGGGUCUCUGAAGCACACUUAAUGCUGUCUUUAAAAUGACCACUCGCUGUUGCCACCGCCGGCCAUGAAAUCGCUUCAUUUUAACAAGCACCCUGAGUUCCAUCCGCGCUCGCCUGCUGAUGCUCUGCUUCUUGUAAUGCCAUUACGUUUCAUUUACUUUUGCCUCUUCGCUUGUCUCUGUGGUGUGUGUGUGAUGUUUUUUUUGUUUUUUUUUAAAGCAAACCAAGAGUACUGUUUGUUCAAGCCAUCACCCAUGGUUGCAUGCACCCUUACACAAUGGAAUGUGUGGAAUGGAAAGAAGCGACCUAUGUCUUUGUAGCUCCUCUGUCGUGUGCCUUAAUUGCCAUGCCGAUGUUGGUCCUGCUCUCGUGAGCAGAAGAAGUGCCCUAGUGAACGUGCCAGAGGAAGUGCCUUGCACUUAUCGCUGCGUUUGCAGAAUGAGUGCCCCCCCGCAAUUAAUAUUAACUGUACAGGCUCAGUUACUCUUCAGCAGCCAACAGACCCGCUUUUCUUUUCUCCCCCUCCCCCUCCCCCUUUUGCUUUAGAGGGGAUAGGAUGCUAAUGGUGCUUUAACUUAUGUAGUCAUUUCCCUCUUCUCUUCCUCCAGAGAUGUUGGAAACUGAAGGCUGCCUUGCACUCAUCAUUCUGUCACAUAUGCGCGCAAACACA